UUAUCCAAAGGGAAUGAAAUCAGCUUAUGGAAGAGUUAUCUGAAGCCUCAUGUUUAUUUCAGCUCAAUUCACAAUAGCUGAAAUAUGAAAUCAACCCAGUUGUCCAUCAACUGAUGACUGGACAAAGAGAAUGUGGUAUAUAUACACUAUGGAAUACUACUCAGUCAUAAAAAAGAAAGAAAUCCUGUCUUUUGCAGCAAAAUGGAUGCAACUUGAAAUGAUUAUGUUUAAUAAAAUAAGCCAGUCUCAAAAAGACAAAUAUAUUUUUUCUGUGAUAUAUGGCAGCUAAUAUAGAAUACAAAAGAAUGUAUAGAAAUGAAAUGGAUAGAAAUCCCACUUCAGGAAAGACUGCGAAUGGCCCAGAAUCCUUAGAAAUUAAGGUUUGGGUCACCCCACGGGCCCAGCAACCAGGUCCAACAAAGGUAUCUACUAAAAUCAAAGGGAAAAUAAAUUUAAAAUGCCGGCUAUGACUACAUGACCAGUUAUAGGAAUGAAGAUUGCAAUAGCAAUGAAAAAUUCUUCUUUAUUUUGAUAUGAGUAUGUUUUGUGUAUAUAUCAAGCUAUUCUUUUUUCUUCUCAUCCCAUCUAGCAUAAGGUCUGAUGAUUAAUACUCAACCUUACAUAUAAAUAUUAUAACAAAUCGAAGAAGUUUGACUCAACUAAAGAAGAAUGAAUAUUGGCCUGCGACCCGGCUCACUAGGCUAAUCUUCUGCCUUGCAGCGCCAGCACUCCAGGUUCUAGUCCCAGCUGGGGCGCCGAAUUCUGUCCUGGUUGCUCCUCUUCCAGUCCAGCUCUCUGCUGUGGCCCAGGAGGGCAGUGAAGGAUGGCCCAAGUGUCUGGCCGCCUGCACCCGCAUGGGAGACCAGGAGGAAGCACCUGGCUCCUGGCUUCGGAUCAGUGUAGCUCCGGUCAUAGCAGCCAUUUGGGGGAUGAACCAAUGGAAAGAAGACCUUUCUCUCUGUCUCUCUCUCUCUCACUAACUCUGCCUGUUUAAAAAAAAAAAGAAGAAGAAGAAUGAAUAUCAAUCAAAGACAGAUAAAAGACUUUGUUUUUGGGGAAGAAUUGACAUGUUUUUAGUCAUUUAAGACUGUGUAAAAAUAUAAAUAAAUAAGUAAGUAAGUAAAUAACUGUGUGAUCAUUGCUUUAUCUUAGGUAAAGCAUUAUUUUGUUAUGUUCUUUACUCAAAAUUAAGUCAGGUUAAAAUAGGUGUUUAUGGGUGCCAAUUUGACAAAGGGUAGAUAGAGAGUUACGACUUUGGAUAGUAUGAAGUUAGCUAAUACAAUAUAUGGCUUCUCAAAAUUCCACUCCUUAUAUGGUUCCAAGUUAAGGUUAGCAACAUAAAACAUAUGCACAAGAUUUACAAAGUGAAAGUGAAGCAGAAGCCAUUACCAUCUGAAAACAGUUGAAGGGCAAUCAGGUGUUUAGCAGCUAAUUCACGAUGCUGUACUGGUAGUUCUACUUGUGGGUGUGGUAUAGUAUCCAAGUUUGUGGCUGCUUUUUCUCUGGUAUUAUCUCUUCCUUUAGCUUCUCUGACUUCUUGGCCAAAAGCAUGUACAAUUCAUGACAUAGGAAACCAGUUACUACUGCAGGUCAUUCAUGUUGUCAAGGUUUGAGCAGGGAGAACAGAGGCUACAGGUUUUAGUUUGUUCCACUGGUUUCCAGUUUGCCUUGUUCUCUCUCACUUUAGAUCCAGCUUUUCUUCCUGACUGCCAGACCUGUUGACCUACAAAGCAACCAUAGGAUCAGGAGCAGAUAAGGAAUUAGCCUCCCAAAGGCUUCAUCACCAGCUCCUGUAAUCGAUCAUGCCAUAAAUAUAUAUAUAUAUAUAUAUAUAUUUAUACUUUGAUGGCAUACAUUAGCUAAUAUAUUAAGAUUUUUGCACUGUACUUGUAAAUAAGAUUGCUCAUAAUUUUACUUCUUUUAAACAGACUUUUUUUAGUUUAUUUACUUUUAUUUGGAAGACAUAGAGAGUGAGCUUCCAAUCAUUGGUUCAUUCCCUAGAUGCUCACAACAGGACUGGGCUGGGCCAGGUCAAACUCAGGAGCUGGGAACAACAUCUGGAUCCCCCAUGUGGACAUCAGAGAUUCAAAUACUUGAGCCAUCAUCUGCUGCCUCCCAGGGUUCACAUUAGCAGGAAGUUGAAUUAGAAGUACACCCUGGACUUGAACCCAGACACCCCAAUAUGGAAUACAGGCAUUCUAAGAGGGAGCAUAAUUUGUUGCAUCACAAUGCCUGUCCCAUUUUCCUUUUGUAAAUGCCCUUAUUUCACUGUACAAUAAGGUAGAAAUGUUUCUUCUUUUUCUAUUCACUGCAAGAGUUUAUGGAAGACUGGAAUACCUAUUGCUCAAUAUUUGAUGGAAGAAUUUUUAAGUGAUUGAUUUACUGAUUUGAAAAAAUAAAAAAUCAGACUGACGAAGGGAGAGAGAAGAAAAAAAGGAGAGACAGAGAUCUUCCAUCUGCUUCAUUCCCCAGCCAGAACUGGGGACACACUGAAGCCAGGAGCCAGGAACUCCAUUCUGGUCUUCCCCAUGUAAAAGAAUGGAAGUUUGCCCUGCAACCUAAGUUCCCUGGAGAGUUUGAGAAAAGUCAUCAGUUUCCAAUUACUUCAGUCUUUUUCUUGUUGCUUCUCUAUAUGAUUUCCCCAAUCAAAUGGGAUAUCAAGUAUUUUUCAAGUAUUUGUAUACUUGACCUCUCUUGUUGCUGGAAAAUCCCUGAUACCCAUUAGUCUAUUGGAAACAUCUUGUGGAAGAGAUCUAAGGUGCUUCAGCCAUCAGCAAGUCAACUACCAGGUAAAAGAAUCCAUCCCAGACCAUCCAAACCUACUUAAGCCAACAACAGACUAUGGCUACAUGAAUGAGCCCAGGCAAGAUCAGUAAGAUUUCCUAGCUGAGCCCAGCCCAAUGAUGAGUCACAAAACAAGUAGCUAAAGAAUGAUUGUUGUUUAAGUCAUUAAGUUUUGGAGACUUUUAUAAUGCUGGAAAGGCUAACUAAUACAGCCACUUACAACAUUAUUGAGUUCCAUUUAACAUGGCUUCCAUUUUCUUCAUGACAUGCAGGCAAAAUUGCCUGUGGAAAAGAGUUUGGGGAAAGUAACAAAGUUCCUGAUAUUCAUUGCAGAAACAAAACAUGAAUAAGUAAGUAAA
Molecule: non-coding RNA, 3143 nt
Organism: Oryctolagus cuniculus (rabbit)
Lineage: Eukaryota; Metazoa; Chordata; Mammalia; Lagomorpha; Leporidae
Source: RefSeq, a predicted model, not a curated record